CAUUUCAGCGUUGUGACUCCGUUAAGAACAAUAUAAAGUUGGACUGGGUCAGUAGAUCAGUGGGACAAAUGUGAAGACACCUCCUCCAAACGUGUCCUCCUUUUCUGUGGACCUGGUGGAUCCCCACUGGCCCGCUCUAGCCCAGCAUCGUCGCAGGCAAACAGGAUUCAAGAUUCAAGUACUUGUUUGUCAUCGCACACGUGUACCAUGACGUGGGCUUCGUGCUCACUGAAGACAGCUCACGUUAGAGGUAGUGAAGUAAAACAACAAGGCUAAAACAUCUCUCACUCACUCACUCACUCACUCACUCACUCACUCACUCACUCACUCACUCACUCACUCACUCACUCACUCACUCACUCACUCACAGAGCAAGUGUUAGUUUGUUGAACUCUGGUGGCACGAAGAUGAAAAGCUGAGGUCAGUCGUGUUGUCCGGCGUUUGUUGGGUGGCGCUAAAGCUGCUGUAGCUCCUCCAGCAGAAGAUCAGUAAUUAAUAAGCCUUCAUUUUCUCUUUGUUCUGUUUAGAAUCUCAUGGUUGCUAGGCAACAGGACACAUGUCAAGGUAAAGGUGGGAAAAAAUCGGAAGUCAAUUCAAUUUCACAGCUGCUCACUUCUGGUCUUCACCGUCGAUGAAGGAUCUGACCUACGUGGACCAGGUUGAGUCCUACCGCUCUUGAAUUUGGACCCAGCUGAAUCUGAUUACUCUAAACCAGAACCUGAUGGGACUGAGACUACUAGAUGAAUAUUCUGGAACAUGUCUGGGCUCUGCUUUUCACCCAUCUGGACCUCCUUGUGAACAGGUCUGGAAAAUGGUGAGUACUACAGCUUGUUGCCAUGGUAACCUGUGAACUGAUGAGUAGAGAGAGAGGACAUGUCAGAACUGGUAUGAAGGAGACUCAAAAUAGUAGCUAAGCUGAUCAGACGCUGUUCUGUUGGUGUGCUGAUGACUCAAAGCAAAGAAAAUCAGAUGUUGCUUUUGCACAAUCAGGCUGAGGAGGAGCCCCAAGUGUUAAAUGACUGUUCACCCUGUCAUCAGCAUGUUU
This 1045-nucleotide long non-coding RNA is filed under the name Nothobranchius furzeri (turquoise killifish). RNAcentral's name for it is "lncRNA (ENSNFUG00015019221.1)". The record is from RNAcentral. Lineage: Eukaryota; Metazoa; Chordata; Actinopteri; Cyprinodontiformes; Nothobranchiidae.